GAUGAACGCUGGCGGCGUGCUUAACACAUGCAAGUCGAACGAGGUAUGAGGACGAAAGUUUUCGGACGGAAGACCUUGUACUUAGUGGCGAACGGGUGAGUAACGCGUGAGAAACCUGCCUUUCAGUGGGGGACAACAGUUGGAAACGACUGCUAAUACCGCAUAAUGUCAUUUGAGGGCAUCCCUGAAUGACCAAAGAUUUAUUGCUGAAAGAUGGUCUCGCGUCUGAUUAGCUUGUUGGCGGGGUAACGCCACCAAGGCGACGAUCAGUAGCCGGUCUGAGAGGAUGAACGGCCACAUUGGGACUGAGAUACGGCCCAG
Molecule: ribosomal RNA, 321 nt
Filed under: uncultured bacterium
Lineage: Bacteria
Description: bacterial SSU rRNA
Rfam family: Bacterial small subunit ribosomal RNA
Source: RNAcentral